Long non-coding RNA from Amphiprion ocellaris (clown anemonefish), 2928 nucleotides. NCBI's taxonomy places the organism in Eukaryota, Metazoa, Chordata, Actinopteri, Pomacentridae. The record is from Ensembl.
AUCUAAAUCUAGAUCUCUUUCCUUGAUGCCUACAAUGUAUAAAUUUGCUCUACAGUACAUGUUUCUGGGCUUUGGAGGUCAGUUCGGUUUCAAUUUGAACACUAUUGUGCUGUAGAAGAUGCUGGCUAAUGGUUUAAUGUAUUUUAUAGGUUUUGGUCAAUGUUAUAAAACAAAUCUUUGGAGUUUGAGUAAAUCCACCACUGAAUUUAUUCCGCUGUUAGAUAACUGAAUGUGAAUUGACCCCCAGGUAAGUCACAUGCGAAGAAAACCAAUUUCAAUCUGUAGAUCACGCCUCUCUACUUGAGCAUGACUGAUGAGAAACAGACUCAUUAACAUUAAAAAUAUACAUGCCAUUUGGUGUGACAGCAGACUGCAGACACAAGCAGCAUCUGUUGGGCAACACAUGCCAGCUAGUUACACUUAAUCAAGUGGUUUUUCCCUUUAAUUCUAAAAUAUAAAUAUACCAUAGAUCUUCUUAAACUCAAAUCUGAUUCGUAAAUUCCUCCCAGAUGAAUCUCACAGGUCAUUUAAAGGCACAUUUACAGAUAAACUGUCAUUUCCAUUAAGCAGCAGACGCACAUAGAAAAGACCACAGUUUGAUCGGGCUGGCAUGAGUGAGAAAUUAUACAAACACCUGUAUUUAAAAAAAAAAGAUUCACAAUGAAGUCUUGUUGAAGUAUGAAGUAAACUAAAAGCCACAUGUCAUAUGAUCCAAAUCUCCAACUUCUAAAAGACAACCCAUAUCCCCCCAUCUUUGUAUGUCACAGUAGAACAUCUCUGGGCUGCACCUGCUUUGGUUUGAGUUUUACAUGAUUUCACAGUAAUGUCUGAAUAAGAUUCAAGAUUUUCAAGUCUGCCACCUUUUUAGACAUUCAGUAUGAAAUAAUGAUAACAUGGAUUUAAAGGAAUAGUUUGACCUAUUGCAGAGGGAUGCUUUGCUCACCAAGAGGGAGGCCAGUGUUAGACUUUCCACGUCCACAAGGGUCUGUGUGAUGUAAAUCUGUCAUCUCCACAAGUACGCAAGAGUCCACACAGACUGUGAGAGCUGAGCAUGUGCAGAAUACAGAGACAAUCAUCUACUGCACAUGUAUAGAGUCCUCCAAGUGAACUGGGGAGGAGUAUACUAACAAAAACUACAUGACCGGGGUGUCUGUAGGUGUUUGUGUCUGAGUAUAAUGAAGGAGUAAGGCUAGUCUUACAGUUUCUAUAUCUGCAAGUGCGCAUGACUGUGACGUGUUCUCCUCAGACCACUAUGCUACAAGGGCUGUAGUGCAUGUGUGGUAUACAGACACCCAUCUACAGCACAUGCAUAGAACAUGUCAUCCAAGCAACUGAAAGUAGCAUAAGGACAGUGUACUUUCCAGGUCUGUGAGCAUGCACGUGCAGAACCCAUACAUACGACUUGCCGUCCUCUGAGUAGAUCCUCACAUACUAGAAAAAUAGUAUAAUAACAAUAACUAUACCGUUCAAAAGUUUGGGGUCGCUUAGAAAUGUCCUUAUUUUUGAAAGAAAAGCAGUUUUUUUCAAUGAAGAUAACAUUAAAUAAAUCAGAAAUACAGUCUAGACAUUGUUAAUGUGAUAAAUGACUAUUCUAGUUGGAAACGGCUGAUUUUUAGUGGAACAUCUACAUAGAGGAACAUUUCCAGCAACCAUCACUCCUGUGUUCUAACGCCUCAUUGUGUUAGCUAAUAGUUGAAAGGCUAAUUGAUGAUUAGAAAAUCCUUGUGCAAUUAUGUUAGCACAUGAAUAAAGGUGCGAGUUUUCAUGGAAAACAUGAAAUUGUGUGGGUGACUGCAAACUUUUGAACGGUAGUGUAUGUCUGAUGGCUUCAACUGUGUGUUUAUGCAUCUGCAAAGGAGUACAAUCAAAGUGUAAGAUGAAAAGAAAGAUUCCACUCUCAAAUCCAGCAGCCAUUUUGCUAACUUUAGCUCAAGGACUGGAAACUUUGGCUCUGUCUAAAGCUAACAAAAUCACAGAAACAAAAACUCACAAAAAACAACAGUAAAGCUCAUUAAUACUAUAUGUCUUCUGUUAAAUUGAAACAAAAAACCUUAGUCUACAAACGACAAAUUGUGAAGUAAGUUCCUGCAACCUGAGUUUAUACACAUUAAUCAGAGAAGUAAUGAACCAGACUGGCUGUUUUCCAUUCCUAGUCCUGGAGUUGAGCUAACUGGCUGACAGAUGGAUAUGAGAAUGGGACUGAUCAUCUCAUCUUAACUCUCAGACAAAAUGUCAAACCAUUCCUUUAGUCUUCAGUCAAGGUGCAGACAUCUGAGGCUGAAACACAAACUCGGUCAAACUGUUGUUAAAUUACAAGUGAAUAAAAAAAAAACUAAUGUAUUUCAGCUUUAAAUGUCCACAGGUCUGGUCAGAGGAGAGGCAGCUGGUGUUUGAGAUAUUUUAACAGUAUUUGGACUGAAAAGAAAAAAAAAAGCAGGCACUUGUUGAUUUAGCAUCGGCAGCAUCUAAAUUAAAGCAAAGGCACAACUGGUCUGAAGGUUGGCUCGCUACACUGUUACAGAUGUCAGAUCUGGUUUAGAAAUGUGUGUGUGGACAAACUGAAGGAGAGGAUUGCAGCAAUGAGAGAUUUUCACCCAGUGGAAGUUCAGUGCUUUCUGUCUGUACGGAGCAGAGAAGUUGUGGUGUUGACAGGCAUCAGAAGAGUCCAUGUACAGCAUGUGUGUGAUCAUAUUUACAGUCUGAGUUUAACAGCUGUGGUGUCUCUCCACAAUCAGGAUCACCUCCAGUUGUAGCUGUGAAUGUCAGCAGAGGGACAGGCGGAAAGAUGAACUUCAGCGCAGGGAGACGGAUAAACGGAGCUCUUCAGAUUGUGCCCUUAAAUACCCAGAAGUCCUUGUGUUGUUCAGUCAGAUAGUCUAUUCAGUGAAGCUGAAGUUCAGGCCGGAGGCAUCUGUGAUUGGAGACGAG